GCGGACGCGAGUAGCUCGGCAGGGGGACUCGCUUGGCUUUCGUGCCAUCCGUGGACACAGUCGCGCGGGUCUUUGUGGGAAGAAACAAAUCACAAAAGCAAUUAAGAGAGCUCAAACAAUGGGUUACUCUCAUCUGGAUUAUUGUAGUCACCUUGUCACUGAUGGAUUCUUGUGCUGUCACCCAGGCUGGAGUGCAGUAAGUAGUGUGAUCUCAGCUCACUGCAGCCUCCGCCUCCCAGAUUCAAGCGAUUCUCCUGCCUUAGCCUCCUGAGUAGUUGGGAUUACAGGUGCGCACAAUGCCUGGCUAAUUUUUAUAUUGUUAAUAGAGUUGGGGUUUCACCAUGUUGGCCAAGCUGGUCUUGAACUCCUGACCUCAGGUGAUCCACCCACCUUGGCCUCGCAAAGUACUGGGAUUACAGGCAUGAGCCACCAUGCCCAGCCUAAAGUCAAUUAUCUCACCACAGACCACAAGGCUACUUUGAUCCAACCAGCCCAUCUUAUAUACUACCACUUUCCUGUUUUCUCACAGUGCUCCAAUCACACUGGCCUUCUUUCUGGACUUCAAACAUGCCAAAUAUACUCUCCUUGAGGGACAUAGCACUUACUGCUACCUUUGUUUGGAAUGUUCUUUCCCAGAUACCCAUGUGGCACACCCAAAUGCUUGAGUGGCCCCUUAUUAGUGAGGCCUUCCUAUAGCAUUAUAUAUAAGAUGGAUAUAAGGUAGGACUCAGAACAUACUCCCUAUCCUCCUUACUCUACUUCACCUGACUCCAAACACUGUCACCACCUGACGUAGUACAUAUUUUAUUUUUUAUUUGUUUAGCAUCUGUCUGCCUCUAACUAGAAUGCAAGCUCCAUGAGGACAGAGAUUUUUGUUUUGUUUACCGCCAUAUUGUCAGCAGCUAGAGCAAUGUCUGGCAUGUAGUAGCACUCAAUGAAUAUUAAUUGAAUAAAUGAGCUACCUAAAAAAUAACUGCAUUGAUAUCAUAACCCAAGUAGUGUCUGAAAUAAUGUAAUGAAUUACCAGAAUGCAAAUGAAUUAUUUUCCAGAUGUCUUUAAGUUGGGUGUUGGAAAGUCAAUAUGCAUUUUUCCUACAAAUAUAAAGUAAGUGCUGUUAUUAUCCCCAUCUUAUGGAUAAGACAUCUGAUAUUUAGCUUAUGCAACUAUGCCUGUUUUCUGAUUUUGAGGCAUGUACCUCACCACUUAUACUAAAUUUCCAGGUCAGAUCAUAAAACCUUACGUAAGCCAUAAAAUUCAGAUAUAAAGUAGUCUAAAAAAAGGAAGGACCAGAAUGGAAGAUACCUAUCUUACACACAAACAGCUGUAUCUAGAGUAUAGGCUUCUUAGCUUUCUAGAUGUUUCACCCAGUUAUAGCUGUUCUUUGAUAGUGAUACAGUGAUAGAGGCAGGAGGCAGAGAAAUUCUAGGCAGAUGGGAAGAUCCCUGGCAAAGCACCACCCUAAAGCUGAAAAGCUUGAAACCACUGCCUAAAGUGAGAACUUAUAUUCCCGUUUUCCUGCUUGAAUGUUGUCUUUUCCUAAACUACCCAUAGCCUGCCCCACCCUAUCUUGUGCCUAUAAAGACCCCAGACUCAGCCAGCAGAGGGGAGAAACAGCUGGACAUCAGAGAGAAGCAGCCGGACUUCAGAGGGACAGCUUGAUGACAUAACUUUGGAGAAGAAUGCAGCCAGAGAUGGGUGGACUCCAGGGAAAGAUUACCUGCCGCCCCACCCUCUUUUCAGCUCCCCUUCCUGCUGAGAGCCACUUUCAUCGGCAAUAAAAUACACUGCAUUUGCUAUCCUUC
Molecule: long non-coding RNA, 1803 nt
Filed under: Homo sapiens (human)
Lineage: Eukaryota; Metazoa; Chordata; Mammalia; Primates; Hominidae
Description: HSALNT0345457
Source: RNAcentral